AGCUCCAAUAGCGUAUAUUAAAGUUGCUGCGUUUAAAAAGCUCGUAGUUGGAUCUCAGUCUCGAUCGAGCGGUCCGUCUUUUGACGGUACUGUUUGAAUCGGACAUUCAGCCGCAUUUCUCCUCAUUCUCUUGAUUGAGUGUGAGGGGAGAGUGGUACGUUUACUUUGAAAAAAUUAGAGUGCUCAAAGCAGGCCGCCGCCUGAAUAAUCGUGCAUGGAAUGAUGGAAUAGGGCCUCGGUUCUAUUUUGUUGGUUUCCGGAACUCGAGGUAAUGAUUAAUAGGGACGGACGGGGGCAUUUGUAUUGCGACGUUAGAGGUGAAAUUCUUAGAUCGUCGCAAGACAGACUACUGCGAAAGCAUUUGCCAAGAAUGUUUUCA
Molecule: ribosomal RNA, 379 nt
Filed under: uncultured eukaryote
Lineage: Eukaryota
Description: SSU rRNA
Rfam family: Eukaryotic small subunit ribosomal RNA
Source: RNAcentral